Mobula hypostoma (lesser devil ray) is the source of this 3154-nucleotide long non-coding RNA. RefSeq lists it as uncharacterized. The transcript has 3 exons. Lineage: Eukaryota; Metazoa; Chordata; Chondrichthyes; Myliobatiformes; Myliobatidae. The record is from RefSeq and is a predicted model, not a curated record.
UAGUUGCUUCUGUAUAAACGGUAAUUGUCAAACUGUGUUUGCAAUGUUGUGAUGCGCACAGCAGACUCUCACGAAUAGGAGUGAGGUAAAUGACAAAUUGGAUAUGAGUUUAGCUCUUGCUUCAGUUCUUUCUUCGGCAUACCAAAAUCGGGAAUUUCCAGAUUGAGAUGUUGCCAGACUGCUGUCCGGCUACUGAAUAUCUGCUGAUACAUUGCACAUCAAGUUUGUACAGGAUUAAAUUUACAAAGAUUAAUGACAGCUGGAACUGGGGUUCUUUUGAAGACCCUGAACUGGAGUUACACACUGACUUUGUGGAAAUGGGACCCACUGUCGGGGCUGUAUGAUCGGUCGCUGUUCGAUAUGCCAAGGAUGCAGCCUGGAAGAUUAGCGCACCUUCAGGAUGCCGGAUUUUUGUGGCUCUGGAGGUGGGCGGAUUCAAGGUCGGUGCUGCUGCCUGGUGUGUUGUGGGAGUACACGGAAGAUCGAAAGCAGCGAGCUGGCUGCUGGCUGUGUGCCCGGAGACCCAAGAUCUUUGGGCACAAAGCUCGGAAAAAGUGACACAACAGACUUUUAACACCAUAAAUUGGAAAGUUGUUUGGUUAUGUCUCCCUUCCCGCUGUGAAACAGGGACACCUCUUUUUCCCUUAUUAGGGAGAGAGAGAGCCUGUGGUUUGUCGAAUACCGGGUGAAUGAGUAGUCUUUGGGGUACUGCAAGUCUGUGUCUUUAUUGAUGCUUCGCUGCACGCUGGAGUGCUCGGUGGAAGCUUUUUUGCUGGUGGGGAAGGGGUGUGUUGCUUUGCUGCUGCUUAUGUGUGGGUGAGGGGGGAGCUGGGGAGGGGACUUCGGGGUUCUAAUAUUUAAAUGUCAUUCAUUCUUUGGGGCACUCCUCUAUUUUCCUAGAUGUUCGCGAAGAAAAAGAAUUUCGGGAUAUAUAUUGUAUACAUUUCUCUGACAUUAAAUGUACCUGUUGAGACAUAAAAGUAUGUAGACAUAGUCCUGCUAAAGGGUUUUGUACUGUUUUCCUAGAUCCUGCCUGGCUUGCCGAGUUCCUUCAGCAUUUUGUGUGUUUCUUGGAUAUCCAGCAUCUGCAAAUUUUCUCGUUUGUAAACAUAGUCAAAAGGCGGAGCUUAGGAGGGUUAAUGGUGCCUAACAGCGACUCCUUUGCUUGCAUCUAUGGAAAUAGCUCUAUUUCCAUCUUUAAUAUCUCUAUUUUUCCCUUUCAGGAUUCUUUUGAAGAUCCUGACCUGGAGUUACAUGCUGAUUAUGUCUCCCCUCCCGGCAUGAGAUGGGGGACACCUCUUUUUCCCCAUAUUAGGGAGAGAGAGAAAGAGAGAGAGAGCCUGUGGUAUGUCGAAUACUGGGUGAAAUGUGAAGUCUUUGGGGUAAAUGCAUAUCUGCGUCUUUGCUAUUGCUUUGCUCACACUUGUGCUUGGUGGUGGUGCUGAUGCAUUUUUUUGCCAGUGGGGGGGGGGGAGUCGUUGCUCGCUGCCACUUACGCGUAAAAGAGGGGAGCUGGGGGGGGUACUUUGGUGUUCUAACAUUUAACUGUUGUUCAUUCUUUGGGGCACUCCUCUGUUUUCGUGGAUGGUUGCGAAGAAAAAGCAUUUCAGAAUGUAUAUUGUAUACAUUUCUCUGACAUUAAAUUGUACCUUUGAACUUUUGAAGGUUCAGUUGUUGUUCGGACCAAACAUCAGAAUGGGAAAGAAAUGUGAUCUAGGUGAUUUUGACCGUGGAACGUUGAUGCCAGACAGGAUGGUUUUUGUAUCUUAGAAACUACCUAAUCUCCUGUAUUUUCUGCCAUACUUCACAAUACCCUGAAUAAACUUUUGUUUUGACUGUGUGCUUAACUAUGGAUUUACUGUCCAAUGUAUCAGUAGAAAUAUUAUAGCUGUCUGCAGAUCUAACUUUUACCUCAUGCGAGACGUUUAGUUUCAACACUUUGGCUGUGUAUCUGUAAUUCAUUCCACACCCAUUGCUCCUGGCUGUUUGUUUGGUGUGCUCAUGCAAAAGUGGAAUUCUGUUUAAAAACAUAUCUGUACUCUGCUGCUAAUUAUUCUGCUGGUGAUUGACAAUGAGUAAUUAGCAGCUGCUAACCCUGGAAGUUCUCAUUGUUCUUUGCAGCUUUUAAUAGAAGUUGGCUAAGAAAGAGUGCUUUGUUCAGUGGUUCGAGGAAGUAAAUUACUUUGGAACACAUAAUUUUUAACAGAUCACAGAAUCGUUACUUUGCAAGGAAAUGCAUUUCUCUCCCAACCUAUGCCCGUCAGUUUUAUUUUGGUGGGGAAAAUUGUAAAAUGCCAUAGAUGCUGAAAACGUGCAAGGUUAAAAGACAUUGGAAACAUCAGACAGAAUCUGAAAAGAACAGGCGAACAGGCAGUGGCAGUUUAAGUGCAGACUCCGUCAGAGAAUAAAAACUAUGCAUUCAGGAAAAUAAACAGAACAAAACCACUUGGGUAAGAAUAAAAGACAGUAAAGUGGCAAGACGUGUGUUCAAAAAAAAAAGACAAGGAAAGAAAUAAAUUGAAAUAAACAUUUCUCUCUAAAUAAGCGAUACAGACAAGCCAACAACAGAGUAUGAAUAUUUAAAAAGGAUUGCUAUAUUGGAAUAAUUAUGCUGAAAGCAAAGCAUCAAACUAAAACAGGUUUCUGUACCGAACAGUGUUGUCAAUCUCACUGCUGGUGGAACGCUACUAUUGACAACUUGCUACUGUUAGAUAUCCCUUUCCCAUAAUCUCUAGAAUACCAACAAAUACUAGAACAGGUGAGCAUUUAGGGCAUAAGUCCAGUGGCCAACAGAAUGACAAUAACCAGACCCCAUUUAUCUCUCUGGACAGCUUCAUAAACCUUUCUUCCUGAAGUAUCAAUCUGGCUAAUGUGAAAGUGACAUCAAAAGGACUAGGAGCCAACUCACAAAUAUGUAAAUGAAAACAAAAAUAAGACCAUAAGACAUAGGAGCAGAAUUAGGCCAUUUGGCCAUCGAGUCUGCCCUGCCAUUCAAUUUCUCUGCAUCUGUUUUAAAUGGAUGCCCCUCUAUCGUGAGGCUGUGCCCUCUUGUCCUAGACUCCGCCACCAUGGGAAACAUCCUUUCCACAUCUACUCUGUCUAGGCCUUUCAACAUUCAAAAGGUUUCAAACAGAUCCCCUUUCAUCCUUCUAAA